This 283-nucleotide ribosomal RNA is filed under the name uncultured Archangiaceae bacterium. RNAcentral's name for it is "partial 16S ribosomal RNA". It matches the Rfam family "Bacterial small subunit ribosomal RNA", at positions 1093 to 1382 of the family's 1533-position model. Lineage: Bacteria; Pseudomonadati; Myxococcota; Myxococcia; Myxococcales; Archangiaceae. The record is from RNAcentral.
CGAGCGCACCCUCGCCUUUAGUUGCCGCGCAAGCGGAUCUCUAGAGGGACUGCCGGUGUUAAACCGGAGGAAGGUGGGGAUGACGUCAAGUCCUCAUGGCCUUUAUGACCAGGGCUACGCACGUGCUACAAUGGCCGGUACAAAGCGUUGCCAACUCGCGAGAGGGAGCUAAUCGCAUAAAACCGGUCUCAGUUCAGAUUGGAGUCUGCAACUCGACUCCAUGAAGGCGGAAUCGCUAGUAAUCGUGGAUCAGAAUGCCGCGGUGAAUACGUUCCCGGGCCUU